RNAcentral lists this ribosomal RNA (401 nucleotides) under uncultured bacterium. RNAcentral describes it as "bacterial SSU rRNA". It matches the Rfam family "Bacterial small subunit ribosomal RNA", at positions 917 to 1322 of the family's 1533-position model. The record is from RNAcentral.
GGGCCCGCACAAGCGGUGGAGCAUGUGGUUUAAUUCGAUGCAACGCGAAGAACCUUACCAGGGCUUGACAUACUACAAAUCCUUUUGAGAAAAAGGAGUGCCUUCGGGAAUGUAGAUACAGGUGGUGCAUGGCUGUCGUCAGCUCGUGUCGUGAGAUGUUGGGUUAAGUCCCGCAACGAGCGCAACCCUUAUUUUUAGUUACCAAUUCGUUGGGUUCUCUAGAAAGACUGCCGGUGACAAACCGGAGGAAGGUGAGGAUGACGUCAAGUCAGCAUGCCCCUUAUGUCCUGGGCUACACACGUGCUACAAUGGCUAAGACAAAGAGUCGCGAGCUUGCAAAAGUCAGCUAAUCUCAUAAACUUAGCCUAAGUUCAGAUUGUAGGCUGCAACUCGCCUACAUG